This is a long non-coding RNA of Ipomoea nil (Japanese morning glory), 187 nucleotides long. RefSeq lists it as uncharacterized. Lineage: Eukaryota; Viridiplantae; Streptophyta; Magnoliopsida; Solanales; Convolvulaceae. The transcript has 2 exons. The record is from RefSeq and is a predicted model, not a curated record.
AGGCAGUGGCUAGUGAGGGUGGCACUGAAGAUGCAAAAAGAAGGGGUGAUGUGUUUGCUAGUGCAUUUUCAGCACAUUUGGCAAGAUUGAUGGAGGAGCCUGCUGCAUAUGGUAAGCUAGGACUGGCUGACCUUUUGGAACUACGAGAAGAGUACUUGAGAGAGUUUCAUUUCUUUGAUGCCUACAG